UAUCUGUAAGGCUGUUUUUUUUCUAAUUAAGGGUUUGUGUGCUUAUGCCCGUGUGUUAUCUGGAAAAGUAAAAAAUGUAAGGUGACCAUAUUUUGUAAACAAAAUCCGGGGACACUCAGUUUUGGGAGCACAGCAAAGUAGCCAAGACUGACAUGUAUGUUGCAGAGUGUAUCAUGAGCAGGUUCUAUUUUAACAGUUGCACGUAUUCGUUACAAACAGAAAACAAAUAUGCAGACAAUCUACUGAAACAGACACACACUGCGCAAUAAUUAAGCAGAUUUUUUUUUUAAAUUAUCCCAACUAAACAAAACAGGCAAUAUGCAAAAGUCUACUUCUUCUGUUGCCUUCAAACCAAAACUAAGUAGACAGGGUUACACAUGUGUAACGGAUGUACAAUGGAUGUAUUGUUUAUUUUUUUUAAUGUAAUAAGAUUGAGUUUUAUUGUGUGAUUUUUAUUAUUUUUACUGUUGCACUGUCCCUUUAAACCCCAGGGAGACUACUGGUCUCAAUAGUAAUUGCAGUGAUAAUUCGUAAUGGGGGCCAGCUGUAUAAAAACAGGUGGGGUUAAUCAGCGAGAGAGCGACCGGGUUUGAGAGAUUUGUGAGCUGAGAGCACGGGUCGGGGAACUACUGUUUGUUAAGGAUUGUAACUUUUCAAGUGUAAUACUGAGGCGCUGUGAAUUGGCUGAAGCGCUAGAAGUUAAUGGUAAACUCCUACUAUUCAUGUUGAAUAGUUUGGUCUGCUCUAUAUUGGAGAGGUUUCAGUGAAGUAUCCCCCGUCGGUCGCAAUUGUAUGGGGUUGAUUUAUAAAAGAGAAUGUGCAUUGUCUGUAUUCUGAGUUGGUAAUUAUGAUCCUGUGAAUUUCGAUGUAAUUCUGAGCGCUGCAUACAAACUUUUUUUUUUCUGUGUUAUUGGUUGUUUUAGACUUUUAGAGUAGCGUCUUUGUCCUGAUCACCCUAACUGUAAUGGUGUAUGUGUUUACAAUGUAUAGUUAUAAAAGGCCUGUUAACUGUUGAUUGCACACCUGCACUUUAUCAACUUGUGUAUUAACUAAAAUAGCGGCUAUUGGAGUGUUUAAGCAUUAGGCAUUUUUUAGGUUGCAUGACGUUUUCUGUUUUUCUUUGAACAUCACUGAUUAGUUGUUUUUUUUUUUAGUGUGUUAUUUAAAGUUUGUUUUGUUUGGAAUUGUGUUGGUGGAAACCACUAUUUGUUUUGAAGGCUGUUAUUUAAGUGUUAUUGUGUUGUGAAUUAUUUUUAUUUAGAAGUGUUGGUGUGACAUGACGUAGUUCAAAGUAUCCUAGUGCUUAGGGUUUGAUGGGAUCGCUCUUGGUCAAAUCUGCUGCUAUAGUUUAAAGGGUGUUGCUAUCAAAUCUGCUGCUAUAGGUAAAAGCUGUGAUAUUUUGUUUAAAAAAAAUCUUGUUGUUUUUAUACCUUGUUGUACACACUGUGCUGUCUUGAUUUUUAAAGAACCUGUUAUUUAUUUGGAGUUAUAUCGCUACACAUGGGCAUACUGGGAACUUGAUACAGCUAACCAGGACUAAAAUCUAAUUUUACUGACAUACUACUGUACAGUAUGCUGUUAUGGGUUUUCAUGUUAUGUCAAUUUUGAUUUUAGAAAAAAGUUUUUUUCUAAAGACAAAUCAUUGUAUUUUGACACACUUACAUACGCACCAAGCACACAAGAGCAUGUAUUAAAGCCCAUAACCCAGGCGUUUAUAAAAAGAGACGAGCCAAAAAUAGGAUAUUAAACCUAAAUAUUGUACUAAUUACAAUAAAUGUUAUAAUGUACUGUGACAAACAGCGAAUGAAUCUGAAUCAACAAUCUCCCUCUCGACCUGUGACAGCACUGUACAGCAAAAACUGCGUGCCCCGUACUGAAUGUUUCGGCAGUUUAUUCCGGGGGCAGUCGGAAGCCGACCAUUCAGGAAUGGGAUGGCGUCACGGUACCAGUUUCAUUCAACAGUUUCAUUCAUGAAUUGGAGGAGACGUGAUUGAACUAGCUAUCGGAGGGGGCGAUGCUGAGGGUACUUUAGGGGGACGGUGGUUGAUGGGAGGAAACGAGAACUGUUUGGAGCGAGAGGCCUUCUCUGCGUUUUUCUACACGUUUGACUUUCUUAAGCUGCCUCCACGGUCCUCUCUGGAUGUUACGAAGAAAACCACUGAAGAAUUCUGCAAGAGAGACUGGAGCAGUCUGAAGACAGACUUUCCCCACAGAGAAGGAGAAUAAUCAGAGAGUACUGCGCCACCAGCUAUUACAUCACCACUCUACUGGCUGAUGCCUACAAGUUUGACAACCAAUCAUGGAACAAGAUCGUCUUUGAGAAGAAGGCCGAUGACACCGAUAUCGGCUGGAUGCUGGGCUACACGCUGAACUUGACCAACCUAAUCCCCACUGAGACCCCUGCGAGCUGAAAGGUCAUGGCUACAGCGUGCGGGCCGCCUCGGUCUUCUUCAUCGUACUGGUCAUUGCGCUGAGCCUGCUGGCCCUGGUAGUGCAGUGCUACACUCAGUGCCGCCGCAGCUUCAACUCACACCAGUCAGCAACUGAGUCACCAAAAAGGGGACAGUGAAGAAGAGGAGGAGGGGGACGAGGUCUGGUUAAUAUAGAGGCCAAGUAUGGAUUUGUCCCCAUCCUGGUUUUUGAUGCUGAAAUGACAGCAAUGGUAUGGGUACUUCAGCAAAAAAAUUAUUUUUACUGUAUUUUAGUGGAGCUCUGUGCAUGGCAUAACAUUUUAUAAACUAUCCUGUAUCAUUCGAAACUUAAGGAUCUGAAAUCUAAAUACUCCAUUUAUGUCUUCAGUUGUACAGUGUAUGAUUACAUUUUUUUAUAUAAAUAUAUAUUGUAGUAUAUUUGGAUUUCUUGGUUUUGGUAUGUUUCUGUUAUAUAGUGUUAUAUUUGUACCGGUUCAGAGGUCUCCAUUGGUAUUUCUGUUUUUUGGAUAUAUAUAAUACUGUAGAAGUGCAUCUAUUUCCCCUAAGAGAACACAACUAUAUUACUCUAAAAAUGAAUGAUAUUGAUUUCUAGUCUUUAACUGUGGUUUCAGUGUUUUCUCUUCAGAUGUAAAUGAGGAAAGGUUGACACUUUUGCAAUAAAAGGCUUUCCUGUGAUGCAUGUGAUGUGACAUGUUUCUAUCAUGAAACCAUCCCCCUACAGAAUAGCCCCUUUAGUUUGCAUGGGUUUUUCUCUUAAGUAAUAGCAUGUCUGUCUGAGUGAUCAUUUAACAAUGCUCUGCUGUCACCUGCUGAUCCUUGAAAGAAGCCUAAAACUCGGUGAAAACGAGGAUGCUUUUCAUAUCCUGCCAUGUUCACACUGUGCCUUUCCAAUGAUUCACCCUCUUUGAUAUCCUGCUUUACCAUUCUUAUCAGUGU
This is an RNA transcript of Acipenser ruthenus (sterlet), 3368 nucleotides long. It is a transcript of the gene named galactoside alpha-(1,2)-fucosyltransferase 2-like, with no coding region annotated. The record is from RefSeq and is a predicted model, not a curated record. The transcript has 4 exons. Lineage: Eukaryota; Metazoa; Chordata; Actinopteri; Acipenseriformes; Acipenseridae.